This 3069-nucleotide ribosomal RNA is filed under the name Bifidobacterium dolichotidis. RNAcentral describes it as "Bifidobacterium sp. 2036B 23S ribosomal RNA". It matches the Rfam family "Bacterial large subunit ribosomal RNA". Lineage: Bacteria; Bacillati; Actinomycetota; Actinomycetes; Bifidobacteriales; Bifidobacteriaceae. The record is from RNAcentral.
GUGUGCCUAUAAGGGCGUAUGGUGGAUGCCUUGGCAGACAGUACCGAUGAAGGACGUGUGGGGCUGCGAUAAGCCUCGGGGAGCCGCCGACAGGGCUUUGAUCCGAGGAUGUCCGAAUGGGGAAACCCGCCGGUUGUUAUGGGCCGGCACCAGUUUUACUGGAGGGUACGCAGGGAAGUGAAACAUCUCAGUACCUGCAGGAAAGGAUACUCCGUGAGUAGUGGCGAGCGAAAGCGGAUCAGGCUAAACCAUGUGCGUGUGAUACCCGUCGGGGGUUGCGUAUGUGGUGUCGUGGGAGCGAUUGUUCGAAUGCCGACGUGUUCGACGCUAGUUGUAGAAAAUCAUGUGUGAAGCGAACCGGGUUGGAUACCGGGCCGUAGAGGGUGAUGGCCCCGUAGCUGAAGGCGCAUGGUCUAGCGAUAUUGUUUCCCGAGUAGCGCGGGCCUCGUGGAAUCCCGUGUGAAUCUGCCCAGACCGUUGGGUAAGCCUAAGUACACCUGUCUGACCGAUAGCGUACUAGUACCGUGAGGGAAAGGUGAAAAGCACCCCGGGAGGGGAGUGAAACAGUUCCUGAAACCGUGCGCUUACGAACCGUCGGAGCCUUUCGGGGUGACGGCGUGCCUAUCGAAAAAUGAGUCUGCGAGUCAGUGGCAUGUGGCGAGCUUAAGCCUUGUGGUGGAAGCGUAGCGAAAGCGAGUCUUAAAAGGCGUUUUUGAGUCGCAUGUCCUGGACCCGAAGCGGGAUGAUCUAGCCCUGAGCAGGUUGAAGCGCGGGUAAGACCGCGUGGAGGACCGCACCCACUUAGGUUGAAAACUGAGGGGAUGACUUGGGGUUAGGGGUGAAAGGCCAAUCAAAUUCCGUGAUAGCUGGUUCUCUCCGAAAUGCAUUUAGGUGCAGCGUUGGUUGAUUGCAUACAGGGGGUAGAGCUACUGGAUGCUUGCGGGCCCGUAUUGGGUACCAAUAGCAGCCAAACUCCGAAUACCUGGUAUGUGUAUUCCAGCAGUGAGUCGGCGGGGGAUAAGCUCCGUCGUCGAGAGGGAGACAGCCCAGAUCGUCGUCUAAGGUCCCUAAGCGCGUGCUAAGUGGGAAAGGAUGUGGAGUCGCAUAGACAGCCAGGAGGUUGGCUCAGAAGCAGCCAUCCUUGAAAGAGUGCGUAACAGCUCACUGGUCUAGUGGUUCCGCGCCGACAAUGUAGCGGGGCUCAAGCACGUCACCGAAGACGCGGCAACACGUUUUUUACGUGUUGGGUAGGAGAGCGUCCUGUGUGGGUUGAAGCUGUGGAGUAAUCUAUGGUGGACUGCAUGGGAGUGAGAAUGCAGACAUGAGUAGCGAAAGCGGGGUGAAGAUCCCCGCCGCUGGAUGACUAAGGGUUCCAGGGCCACGUUCAUCGUCCCUGGGUGAGUCGGGUCCUAAGGCGAGGCCGACAGGCGUAGUCGAAUGGAUGAACGGGUUGAUAUUCCCGUACCGGCGUAAGACCGUCCAAGACUUGCUUGCUGUUGAGCAGGCUUCCUGAACCGGAUGCCUUCCUUUCGGGGUUGGUUGAUGGUGUGGGUCGUUUGUGAGAUGCUUGUAGGUCAGCACAGGAGUGACGCGGAUCGGUAGCCUACUGCGGAGGUGGUUUUCCGUGGCCAAGCAUGUGGCCUGUUUCCUAGGUAAAUCCGGGGAACGUAUAAGGUGAGAUGUGAUGGUGGAUGCUUUUCAGCAUGAUAUUAGGUGAUCCGGUCGGCCGAGAAAAGCUUCGGUGUGAGGGCUUACUGCCGCUCGUACCCUAAACCGACACAGGUGGUCAGGUAGAGUAUACCAAAGCGAUCGAGUGAAUCCUGGUCAAGGAACUCGGCAAAUUACUCCCGUGCCUUCGGCAUAAGGGAGACCCUUUGAUGUGAGACAUCUUGCGUGUUCGAAGCGUUGAGGGGUGGCACAAGCCAGGGGGUAGCGACUGUUUACCAAAAACACAGGUGCAUGCGAAGACGCAAGUCGCUGUAUAUGCACUGACGCCUGCCCGGUGCCGGAAGGUUAAGAGGAUCCGUUAACUUCGGUGAAGCGGUGAAUUCAAGCCCCGGUAAACGGCGGUGGUAACUAUAACCAUCCUAAGGUAGCGAAAUUCCUUGUCGGGUAAGUUCCGACCUGCACGAAUGGCGUAACGACUUCCCCACUGUCUCGACCAGGAACUCGGCGAAAUUGCAGUACGAGUAAAGAUGCUCGUUAAGCGCAGAAGGACGAAAAGACCCCGGGACCUUUACUAUACCUUGGUAUUGGUAUCAGAUGCGGAUUGUGUAGCAUAGGCGGGAGGCUGUGAAGCAAUGGCGCCAGCUAUUGUGGAGUCGACAAGUGAAAUACCGCUCUGUCCCCAUCUGAUGCCUAACCUCGAGCAGUUAUCCUGCUCAGGGACAGUGCCUGGCGGGUAGUUUAACUGGGGCGGUUGCCUCCUAAAGAGUAACGGAGGCGCUCAAAGGUUCCCUCAGCCCGGUUGGCAAUCGGGUGUUGAGUGUAAUCGCACAAGGGAGCUUGACUGUGAGAGCGACGGCUCGAGCAGGGACGAAAGUCGGAGAUAGUGAUCCGGUGCCGGCGUACGGACGUGGCAUCGCUCAACGGAUAAAAGGUACCCCGGGGAUAACAGGCUGAUCAUUCCCAAGAGUCCAUAUCGACGGGAUGGUUUGGCACCUCGAUGUCGGCUCGUCGCAUCCUGGGGCUGGAGCAGGUCCCAAGGGUUCGGCUGUUCGCCGAUUAAAGCGGCACGCGAGCUGGGUUCAGAACGUCGUGAGACAGUUUGGUCUCUAUCCUCUGCGCUCGUUGGAAUCUUGAGGAGACCUGCCCAUAGUACGAGAGGACCUGGGUGGACGAACCUCUGGUAUGCCAGUUGUCCCGCCAGGGGCAUGGCUGGUUAGCUACGUUCGGAAGGGAUAACCGCUGAAAGCAUCUAAGCGGGAAGCCUGCUCCAAGAUAAGGAUUCCUAACACUCCUUUGAGAGUGUGAGAGGCCCCAUAUAGACCAUGUGGUAGAUAGACCGGAUGUGGAAGCCCUGUAAGGGGUGGAGCUGACCGGCACUAACGGCCAAAAGCACACAAUAUA